Molecule: long non-coding RNA, 495 nt
Organism: Cygnus atratus (black swan)
Lineage: Eukaryota; Metazoa; Chordata; Aves; Anseriformes; Anatidae
Exons: 3
Source: RefSeq, a predicted model, not a curated record
GAGGGAUAGUCAUACAGUACUUCUGAGUACCCUUCCUGUGAGUUUUUGAAGGUUCUAGAAGUCGCCAGAAGAUGGUCAAAAGCAGAAGAGAAGUCAUCAGGUACAAGAGGCAGAGAACAUCUUUGCCGUUACUACAUCGUAUAUGCUUAGGAUGAAAACAACUUCCUGGCAAAACACUAAAAGGGGGAGUGGCUUAUUUACCAGAGGGUCAGGCUGCCACCCAGAGGGUCUGCAACAGGCUGGAGAAUUAGGCACACAGAAACCUCAUGAAGUUCAACAAGGAGAAGUGCGAAAUCCUGCAUUUGGGGAGAAACAUCCCCAGGCACCAGGAGAUGCUAGGGACCACCAACUGGAAAGCAGCUUUUCAGAAAAGGACCUGGGGAUCUUGGUGGGCACAAACUUGAACAUGAACCAGCAAUGUGGCCUUGCUGGUAACAAGUCUGAUGGAAUUCUUGCCUGCCUUAGGCAAAUUGUUGCCAGCAGGUCAAGACAGGG